UACGUAUGGUCCUAGCGUUGUCCGGAAUAACUGGGCGUAAAGGGUGUGUAGGCGGAUAUCCGUGUCAGGUGUGAAAUCCCUCGGCUUAACUGGGGCAUUGCGCUUGAAACUGGAUAUCUGGAGCGUGUCAGGGGUAAGCGGAAUUCCCGGAGUAGCGGUGAAAUGCGUAGAUAUCGGGAAGAACACCGGUGGCGAAGGCGGCUUACUGGGACAUGGCUGACGCUGAGGCACGAAAGCGUGGGGAGCGAACGGG
Molecule: ribosomal RNA, 253 nt
Filed under: uncultured bacterium
Lineage: Bacteria
Description: partial 16S ribosomal RNA
Rfam family: Bacterial small subunit ribosomal RNA
Source: RNAcentral